Molecule: long non-coding RNA, 1332 nt
Organism: Fundulus heteroclitus (mummichog)
Lineage: Eukaryota; Metazoa; Chordata; Actinopteri; Cyprinodontiformes; Fundulidae
Exons: 3
Source: RefSeq, a predicted model, not a curated record
AUCCAGAGAUCCAGCCUCCAUCCUUUAUUAACCGGGUGGAUCUGCUGGACGUGAAGAAUAGAGACGUGUCUUUGGUUCUGAAGAACGUGACGACUGAUGAUACAGGAACAUAUGAGUGUCGAGUCGUUCAGAGAGGAAAUAAUCGCAGGAAGAGAUUUCUACUGGGUGGUGACCCCAUCUGCAUCUUUAACCUGAGAGUUGAAGCAGGGAACCAGGAUGGAGGAAACAAGGACGGACAAAAGGAGGAUGGAGGGAGCUGUACUGGCUGGAUAGUUGGUUUUAUAGUUUUAGCCAUUGCCUCCAUUCUUCUUGCUGCUGUUGGAGUCGUCUUACUCCGUCAAAGGCAGAGAUAUUCUUCACCAAGAUCUGACUGACCUCCAGCAUCAGAAGAUGAAGCUCUGCAAGAUAAACCAGGACUUUAAUAGUCUCAUCAUUCCUACCUACCAUAGAGAUGCUGUGGUCUCCUAGUUGGACUUGCUUUGGUUUCAUUUGCAGUAAAUUUUCUGCUCUAUCGACAUCAGGGAUGUUUGCAUCAGGAACAGAAAACUUCUUCUGCAGCUGGAGUAGAACUUGAACCUAUGAAUCCUGAAAACCUGUCCUCCAGCUGAAGAGAGAACAUCAAGGCAUCAUUUCCACCUGAAGAAACCUUCAGCUCUGUGAUACGUAAUCAUCCCUAAAACCUUUCAGACGCUUUCAACAAGCUGACUGGUGGAUAAAUAACAGUGUUUGGUCUGAAUGGAAAAUGUCUGUCAGUUUAUUCAUUUAUUUUAUUUUAUUAGAUUUUGUGUAGUUUGUUCACUAGUUUCCAUCCCCCACUACAAAAACAGGAUCUCUCUACUGACACAAAAAGCAUUAAAACUUUUUGGACAUAUAAAAGAACACUACAGCUUGUGCCUUUGGGUGAUUAAAAUGAAAUGUUAAGACAGCCUCAGCUGUUCUGAUGAACACGGAGUUUGACCAACAUCAGCUGGCGCCUCAGUUCAGACCAGAACCGGACUGAUCUGCAGGAACCAUUAACUUUCUGGACCAACUUUACAUGAAAGUGGAGGACCAGCAGCUUCUGACUGAUGCUCAGCUGCUGCAGGUCUGUCUGGGUGAUAAACAGCAAGGGACGCUCUAACAUGGUCUGUCUCAGAACACUUUUUAAGCUUUGGGCUUCAUCCCGAUGUCCUCAAUUAUGGCUCUUAGCUCCUGUUCCUUGAACUAUGAUGAGGUCAACAGUCAGAACUCUGCUGUGGCGAGGAAACGAGCUUCGGACUGUUGUGGCACACAUGGACGAUUCUAGUCAAAUCCGGACCUAAACUAUAAACCACAAAUUGUGCGUUCUCUUCU